UACGUAGGCAGCAAGCGUUGUUCGGAGUUACUGGGCGUAAAGAGUGCGUAGGCGGUCCUGUAAGUUUGGUGUGAAAUCUCCCGGCUCAACUGGGAGGGUGCGCCGAAGACUGCAGGGCUUGAGUAUGGGAGAGGUAAGCGGAAUUCCUGGUGUAGCAGUGAAAUGCGUAGAUAUCUGGAGGAACACCGGUGGCGAAGGCGGCAUCCUGGACCGAUACUGACACUGAGGAGCGAAAGCCAGGGGAGCAAACGGG
This 253-nucleotide ribosomal RNA is filed under the name uncultured bacterium. RNAcentral describes it as "partial 16S ribosomal RNA". It matches the Rfam family "Bacterial small subunit ribosomal RNA", at positions 524 to 776 of the family's 1533-position model. The record is from RNAcentral.